RNAcentral lists this transfer RNA (73 nucleotides) under Bacteroides fragilis str. 3783N1-2. RNAcentral's name for it is "tRNA-Gly". It matches the Rfam family "tRNA". From Rfam's summary of the family: Transfer RNA (tRNA) molecules are approximately 80 nucleotides in length. Lineage: Bacteria; Pseudomonadati; Bacteroidota; Bacteroidia; Bacteroidales; Bacteroidaceae. The record is from RNAcentral. RNAcentral also lists the same sequence under 4 other names.
GCGGAAGUAGCUCAGUUGAUAGAGCAUUAGCCUUCCAAGCUGAUGGUCGCGGGUUUGAGCCCCGUCUUCCGCU